Molecule: long non-coding RNA, 575 nt
Organism: Micropterus salmoides (largemouth bass)
Lineage: Eukaryota; Metazoa; Chordata; Actinopteri; Centrarchiformes; Centrarchidae
Exons: 3
Source: RefSeq, a predicted model, not a curated record
CACCAAGGAAGCUACAGCUGUGUUUAUCACCUCUUGGUUUUUUCUCAUAACUUCUCCUCUGAGAGCCGUCGGCUGUCGCUCACUGUCUCAGAUCCAACAGGUCUUCUCAUCAAAGUGGUCGUCCUGCCGCUGACUCUGCUGUUGGUGAUCGCUGCCCUUUGUUUCUACCGUAAGGCCAGCAGGGGGCAGAAGCCGGGCAGGCAGGAGGACAUCGAGCUGGAUUAUUAUAACCUGGGUGUUUCUGCAGCUGAAGGAGGGCCGACUGAAGAGGAAGGAGCUCAGGGAGCAGAGUAGGACCUCCAAGGAGCUCAUCUCAGCUGCCUCACAACCCACCAUCAGCUCAGUCCAGGAUUUUACUCUUUUCUAGUGAUGUUCCCUUUAAACAAUACAGCUGGAAUUAUUAGAUUACAUUAGACACUAUUUUUAUUAUUCUCAACAAGAAAAGAGCAAAACCAACAGUGUGUUAGUCUUUUCAGACUUCUUGUCUGUGGCUCUCAGCUCCAAGCCCAUUGGAAGACUAUGCCUUUGGUGUGAGAGACUCGGGUUCAAUCCCCCACUGUGACCCAUCCGCCAUU